Long non-coding RNA from Brassica rapa (field mustard), 3023 nucleotides. RefSeq lists it as uncharacterized. The record is from RefSeq and is a predicted model, not a curated record. Lineage: Eukaryota; Viridiplantae; Streptophyta; Magnoliopsida; Brassicales; Brassicaceae.
CGCAACCGCCCGCAACCGCAAACGCUAGCUGGAGUCAGCUUUUGAAUUUAUGAGAUUCGGAGCGGUUUGAAACGGUUUAGAGCGAUUUGAGUGAUUGUUGCAAACCGCCGACAACCGCUACCAACCGCAAAAGCUGCGUUUGCGGGUGGUAGCGGAAAAACCAAUCGCCCCCUAAAGACUAACUCAUUACGAAUACGAGUCUUCCACAACUUCCACAAGAUCUAAUACGAAUUUGAAGGUAUCAUCAUUAAACCGAUAAAAAAUAUUCACAGCUCGCUUUCUUUACUAAAUGAUUUUUUAUUCAUAGAUAUAUAGUUAAUCGACACUGUUUCAUCCUUGUUUAAUGGAUUCUAUAAUGUUUCAAAAGUUGAAGUGGACUAGAUAUCUGGUCACGCCUACUUGAUUGGAACCACUACUCUUACUAAGUUUGAGUUGUAUUAAACAGAUGUCCAUAUAGACCAACUAAAACCGAAUGUGAAAAUCGAUCCAAAUAAACACUAUAUAAUCCUACAUCAUAUACACAUAUAAAAAGACAUUCACAUAUCAUAUUUGCAACGUUUUCACAUAUAAUGUGAGGAUAGUCUUCUAUUAGAUUUUGUAGAUAAUUAAGCUUCAACACUCGUCAUCUCAUUUUAUCAGAAAUAAACAUCUGUCACAAAUUCAAUACCGUGCGAAGAGUUUUAGGGGCAUAAGACACGUUUUAAGAAUAAAUUUAUUUUUAACUAUAAUGAAAACAAUUUUUUAAUAUGAUAUAUUAUUUUCACCAAAUAUACAAGUUUAAUAUUGUAAAAGAAUAAAUUUAUAACGUAAAUAUGUUAUAUUAUGUCAUAUAGAAAAAAUGCAUGAAUUCAAAAAGUGAGUUAAUUAAUUUUCGUAGAAAUGUUCUUUUUUAAAUAAAUCUAAAUCACUAUACUAGAAAUUAUUUAAAAUUUUAAAGCUCUAAAAACAGUUAUAUUAAUCGGGAACCUGAGCCGAAUGCCUUUUUUAAUACACUGUAGGCACGUCUUUGCACAAAUUUAAUACUUGUGCGGUAGCAUGCAUGAGUAAGCAGUAUACCACGGCCAAUUUAGAAGCCCAAAUUCGUGCAUGGUCAGGCAAGAAAAUAGGCUACCCCGAAACGUGACCCAAGCCUAUCUUAUUUAAAAUUUUCUUAAAGAUUAAGUAAUUUAUGUAAAAUAUCUUAAUGUAUAAAAGCGUAGAAUGACAUGAAAAUGUGUAGAAUAGCUUAAGGGGUAAACAUACUUCAUGUGUAAGAAAAAGGGGAGAAUAAACAAGAGAUCUCAGCCGUUAGAUCGGUUUGAUCUCAGCCAUCUACUAAAAAGGUGGGAUGUAUAUAUAAAAGGGGUGAUGGCUUAUUGUAAAUUCAUUUACGAAGUUAUAAAAUAUAAUUCUCAAACUAAAAACGUCCAUUCUCUCUCUAAGUGUUGAUCUGAAGUGUGGUUAAAUUGAAAGGUUGGCUUAGCAACUACGAAACGUAAAAAUAAGUGCUAAGACCACACGUUCCGAUUCAGCGAAAAAUCAGUCCGUGGCAAGUAGCUUACAACCGAAAAGAUCAUGACGAGGAAGAAGGUAAAUCUAGCUUACAUUUCCAAUGACUCGGUGAGGAAAAGAGCACUCAUGCAUAAGAAGAGAGGACUUACGAAGAAACUUGAUGAGAUCAAGGUUCUCUGUGAUAUUGAUGCGUGUGCUGUCAUCUACAGUCCAUUCAACUCAACUCCAGAAAUAUGGCUACCAAACUCGGAGGUGCAUAAGGUUAUAGAAAAGUUCGAGAUUUUGACAGAUGAAGAACAGACGGAGGCAUCGGUUAACCACGAAGAGUUUCUCACUCAAACAAUCACAAAAGACGAGAAGAAGGUUAAGAGAUUAACUGAAGAUAAUAUUGAUAAAUUCAUGAAGGAACUCAUGUACGCUUGUCUUAAUGGUAACCUGUGAGAUUUGGAUAUGGACGAUAGUGCUCGUGGUAACUUGUGUGAGUUUAUUGAUGAAUAUCUCAAGAAGCUUUAUCAUCAUAGAAACGUAACCCUAAACAAUCCGCACGCAUCUUGAAACCGGCGUCUUCCCAAUGGCUAUGGCCACUGCUGUGACACCAAUUGCUAUGGCUGAAGCGGGCUCUUCCUCUUAUGGGAAUGCACAAAUCUUCAAUUCUCCUCAACUAACCAACGAGUCUUAUCCUCUAGUCACUUCAAACCAAGGACCAGAUCAUAUUAAUUUUUAUGGAAGCGAAUGUCGUGCUUAACAUUUUAGGGGCACAAAGCAAACAUUUCAAAAUUUUACUAUAAAAAUAUUAGUGAAAUAUCAUUAAUAUACAAUAAAAUACAUCAAAACUUUUUAUAUACAUUAAUUUUAGUGAAGAUACAAAACUAUAUAGUAAAGUUUUAAUUAAAAUUAUAUAAGUGAUCGAUUGUGAACUGAUAUAAAUGAUGAACUGAUAUAACAAAUACAAUAAUAUAAUAUAUUAACAGAAAAAUCAUUGAUAAAAAAAAAUGAAAACCCAGAAAACAGCAAAAAUUAUUAAAAGACAAUGAAAUAUAACGUUCAAAUACAAUGAAAUUACGAUUAAAAUGAUCAUACCCAUUUUAUUUUGUUUAUCUUCGGUAGCAAAUUGGCAAAACUUUGGACAUUGCUUGCCUUUUUAUCUUAUUAUCAUUAUUCUGUUGUGGAGUUUGAAUUCCGUGCAAGACAAAAAGUUCAUCAAAAUAUAUAUAGUCGUUAUUACGUUAAAUUGUUUAGAAAUAUGUAUUAUAAAUAUUUCAAAAAUCCAUAUAUGCAUUACACUCAUUGAUAAUAAAUAAAUCUUUAAAAUUACUCAAUAUUUUAUUUUCAUUGAAUAUUUAGUUAUUGAUCUUUUGUUUUAAAUUUUUUAACAUUUUGUAACUGAAUGAUAUUCUUAACAACACAUAUAUAUAUAUAGAAAUUGUCUUUUUUUUUUUAUUGAAUAUCAAAUUUAUUGAUCUUAAUAACUCAUUUACAUGUGGAUGAUUAUGUACUCUAAUCACCUAUGAAUGAAUAAAAGAAUAAAACGU